This is a non-coding RNA of Acanthosepion pharaonis, 113 nucleotides long. The record is from the annotation of a GenBank genome assembly. NCBI's taxonomy places the organism in Eukaryota, Metazoa, Mollusca, Cephalopoda, Sepiida, Sepiidae.
UUAUGGCCAUAUCCCUUUGAAACACUGGUUCCUGUACGAUCACUGAAGUUAAGCAACAUCAAGCCUGGUCAGUACAUAGAUAGGCAAUCACUUGAGAAUACUAUGUGCUGUAA